GAGUUUGAUCGUGGCUCAGAUUGAACGCUGGCGGCAUGCCUUACACAUGCAAGUCGAACGGCAGCACGGGAGCUUGCUCCUGGUGGCGAGUGGCGAACGGGUGAGUAAUGCAUCGGAACGUAUCCUGGAGUGGGGGAUAACGUAGCGAAAGUUACGCUAAUACCGCAUAUUCUGUGAGCAGGAAAGCGGGGGACCUUCGGGCCUCGCGCUCUUGGAGCGGCCGAUGUCGGAUUAGCUAGUUGGUGAGGUAAAGGCUCACCAAGGCGACGAUCCGUAGCAGGUCUGAGAGGAUGAUCUGCCACACUGGAACUGAGACACGGUCCAGACUCCUACGGGAGGCAGCAGUGGGGAAUAUUGGACAAUGGGCGAAAGCCUGAUCCAGCCAUGCCGCGUGUGUGAAGAAGGUCUUCGGAUUGUAAAGCACUUUAAGUUGGGAGGAAGGGCAGUAAGUUAAUACCUUGCUGUUUUGACGUUACCGACAGAAUAAGCA
This 490-nucleotide ribosomal RNA is filed under the name bacterium enrichment culture clone ALO1_GLFRUDD03FPLJT. Its description in RNAcentral is "bacterial SSU rRNA". It matches the Rfam family "Bacterial small subunit ribosomal RNA", at positions 9 to 492 of the family's 1533-position model. The record is from RNAcentral.